UCAAUUUUCCAGGUCAUGGGUCAAAGGUCAAAGUCAAGAAAUAUCUUGGAAGAUUGGAAAAAUUCCUAUCUUCAACAUUGAAGGAAUUUUUAAAAAUUCAUAACUGUGUCAAAAAAGAUCAAAUUUCGUUUAUAUUUGACAGUGUUAUGUGGGAUGGUAU
This is a long non-coding RNA of Thalassophryne amazonica, 160 nucleotides long. RefSeq lists it as uncharacterized. The transcript has 3 exons. NCBI's taxonomy places the organism in Eukaryota, Metazoa, Chordata, Actinopteri, Batrachoidiformes, Batrachoididae. The record is from RefSeq and is a predicted model, not a curated record.